CCUACGGGUGGCAGCAGUGAGGAAUAUUGGUCAAUGGGCUUACGCCUGAACCAGCCAAGUCGCGUGAGGGAAGACUGCCCUAUGGGUUGUAAACCUCUUUUGCCAGGGAGCAACGCCGGCUACGUGUAGCCGCACUGCGAGUACCCGAAGAAAAAGCAUCGGCUAACUCCGUGCCAGCAGCCGCGGUAAUACGGGGGAUGCGAGCGUUAUCCGGAUUUAUUGGGUUUAAAGGGUGCGUAGGCGGAAUGCCAAGUCAGCGGUAAAAUGGCGGGGCUCAACCUCGCUCCGCCGUUGAAACUGGCGGUCUUGAGUGGGAGAGAAGUAUGAGGAAAGCGUGGUGUAGCGGUGAAAUGCAUAGAUAUCACGGAGAACUCCGAUUGCGAAGGCAGCAUACCGGCGCCCAACUGACGCUGAAGCACGAAAGCGUGGGUAUCGAACAGGAAUAGAUACCCCAGUAGUC
RNAcentral lists this ribosomal RNA (460 nucleotides) under uncultured bacterium. Its description in RNAcentral is "partial 16S ribosomal RNA". It matches the Rfam family "Bacterial small subunit ribosomal RNA", at positions 338 to 795 of the family's 1533-position model. The record is from RNAcentral.